GGAAGGGUCGCAUAGCGGCCUAGUGCGCUUGCUUGGAAAGCAGGUAGGGGUUUAUAGCCCCUCGGGGGUUCGAAUCCCCCCCCUUCCG
Molecule: transfer RNA, 88 nt
Filed under: bacterium
Lineage: Bacteria
Description: tRNA-Ser
Rfam family: tRNA
About the family: Transfer RNA (tRNA) molecules are approximately 80 nucleotides in length. Their secondary structure includes four short double-helical elements and three loops (D, anti-codon, and T loops). Further hydrogen bonds mediate the characteristic L-shaped molecular structure. tRNAs have two regions of fundamental functional importance: the anti-codon, which is responsible for specific mRNA codon recognition, and the 3' end, to which the tRNAs corresponding amino acid is attached (by aminoacyl-tRNA synthetases). tRNAs cope with the degeneracy of the genetic code in two manners: having more than one tRNA (with a specific anti-codon) for a particular amino acid; and 'wobble' base-pairing, i.e. permitting non-standard base-pairing at the 3rd anti-codon position.
Source: RNAcentral